AAUAGAUACCCCGGUAGUCCACGCCGUAAACGAUGAGUGCUAAGUGUUAGAGGGUUUCCGCCCUUUAGUGCUGCAGCUAACGCAUUAAGCACUCCGCCUGGGGAGUACGGCCGCAAGGCUGAAACUCAAAGGAAUUGACGGGGGCCCGCACAAGCGGUGGAGCAUGUGGUUUAAUUCGAAGCAACGCGAAGAACCUUACCAGGUCUUGACAUCCUCUGCCAACCCUAGAGAUAGGGCGUUCCCCUUCGGGGGACAGAGUGACAGGUGGUGCAUGGUUGUCGUCAGCUCGUGUCGUGAGAUGUUGGGUUAAGUCCCGCAACGAGCGCAACCCUUGAUCUUAGUUGCCAGCAUUCAGUUGGGCACUCUAAGGUGACUGCCGGUGACAAACCGGAGGAAGGUGGGGAUGACGUCAAAUCAUCAUGCCCCUUAUGACCUGGGCUACACACGUGCUACAAUGGAUGGUACAAAGAGCUGUGAACCCGCGAGGGUAAGCCAAUCUCAUAAAGCCAUUCUCAGUUCGGA
RNAcentral lists this ribosomal RNA (522 nucleotides) under uncultured bacterium. RNAcentral's name for it is "bacterial SSU rRNA". It matches the Rfam family "Bacterial small subunit ribosomal RNA", at positions 777 to 1297 of the family's 1533-position model. The record is from RNAcentral.